UGAAACAUUACAACUUCAGGCGAAAAGAUGGCUUUGGUGAAGAGAGACUCAUCUCCAGGUGAUAUUUUGUCCUAUGCCCACUAUUACCUGAAGAAAUGAGCAGGGCAGAAGUGUGAGGAAACGGGGGUGGUGCAUGCGGUGGAAACAGAGUGUUCGCCCAGACGAAAUGGCACCUUGGAGAGCAUGACAUGUGGGAGGAGCUAAGGAUAUGGAGCAUGGAGGGCAGGGGAAGACAACAAGACAAGGUGGGAAAGCAUGUGGUCUUACCGCACGUGGAAUGCGUUCGUGUACUGCAGCAGUCAUCCCGUAACGCUGGCUCCCGUUUCGCAUUUACUACAUAUCAGGCUCUGUACUGAUCUCUUUCUGCGUAUGCCUUUUGAGAUUUUUUUUUUUGAACUGAUAAUCUCUACCCACUAAAACAUUUAAAAGAAACUGAAGUGCACAGAGCGAGAUGUCCAUAAAGUAAGUCUUCCAUUCUUGUUCCCUAAACAUUCUGCCCAGAGUCACCUCGGCUCACCAGUCCCUGACUGUUUGCCUUCAAAGAGAGUGUGCUGAGCAUUUAUUUACAGGACAUCACCACAUUUAGUCCUCACUACAACCCUACACAGCAACUACUAUUAUUCUGUUUGUUAACAGAGGAGGAAGCUGCAGCCCAGAGCGUACUUGCCCCAGCUCAUAAGAAAAUAGGAGAACCAGGAUCAGAACUCACAUCCGUUUUAUCACGGCUGCAUUUCCUUCCCAUUAUCCUCACUCCAGAGGGCCUCGAAGCCUGGACUCUACCUUCUCCCCCAUAUGCUUGUCUAGAUCCUACCCAUCCUCCAGGGCCCUGCUCAGAAUAACCCUACUAGCAUUUAUUGAGUGCUUACUGUAUGCCAGGCUCUUAUAUACUCGAUCUUCUUUAAUCCUCAUGCAAGUUCUACGAGUCAUGUGCUAUUAUCGUCCUCUUUAACAGAAGUGAAACUGAGACUUCGAAAGCCACACAGCUAGUAAGUGGCAGAGGCAACACUCAGCCAGGACAGCCUCAUCUGAGGCCCCUGCCUCCCAGCUAGGACACACCCACACCGCAAAGCCCUCCCAGACCCCCAGCGUGCAGUGAUUUCACUCCUCCGGGGACAGCCUUAGCACUUCUCGUCACAGACCAACGUGGCAUCUGCUUGCCAGUCGUCCUGUAUUGUUCUUGGACAAUUCAGCAUUCUAGGUUCUUCUCUUCCAACUUUGCUGUCAUUCUCAGAGAGCAAAGACUCUGUUUUUAAUGCGUGGUCAUAAUGUUUAAGAAGUGCUUGGCAAACAGUAAGUGUGCAAUAAACAAUUGGUUUAUUAUUAAGAAAAAGUUUUAGCUCCAUGUGAGCGGCUGUAGAAAUCCCGAUGAGACAAAGUAGAACAAGAAAGUGGACUAAUGAAAAUCGAACUCUUCAAACCUCUGUCUGGAAUCAUGUCAUCGGCAUAUUUAACUUCUGGAAAAUCAACUCUAUAUGUGCACUAGGAAAAAAUGAGAGUGGACAAAGGGCAACUGAGCAGUGCUGUGAUUUUGCCCACCGCUGCUCUCCUGGAGCUCCGGCUCCGUGGAAGCACGCCCCUGGACAGUCUCAAUCUUCCAAGAAAGCAGGGCACCUGCACGGCCCUCUCUCUAGCUGCUGGCGCAGCCACACGAAGCCCCGGAGCCCAUGAAACAUUCUGAAGAAAAACUCUUCGACCUUGGGGCUCUGAGUCUUCAUUACGGGUAGCAGCACCUGGGGCCACCAUUUCUGAAAGAAAUUAAAACUCUUUCCUCCUAGCUUCCAUGAACUCAAUGGCCUCUCAACUUCAUCCCUGAUUCCUAAGUGGUGUAAGGUCCAGCCUACCACUCCCCGCCCUCUUGCCCCAGACAGACGGUCUAUCUCAAGGCAGUAAAUGAUUCACAGUGGCUGCUCCUGCUGGGGGGGGAAAAAGUAGAAGAAAACAAAAAUUCCAUUGAUUUGACUAAGAAAUAGGAGGGACUUUGGCCAUACUCUCUGGCAUAGCGUCUACAGGGAAUUGUCUUGGCUGAGACACGCCAGCAAACCAUCCAGGAAGAGCAGAAUCUACUUUUCAUUUCAGAGGGAGAGGAAGAAAUGGGCAACUUGGGGCAGGGAGAGAAUGGAACUGGUGGGAAGUUUUGGAACAGCUGUGUGUUUAAACCAGAGGCCCUGGGCCAAGGGCAGUCAGAGAACAUGAAAAUUCCAGGCACAGAGGAUUCCUCAAAGUGCUGACCCCUCUUUAGGCAAAGAGAGAAGUGGAGAAGUAGUCAUGAAAGCAGGAGAUGUGAGCUGGAAAUCCUGAGGGGGCAGUCUACUCCAGUCUGACAGGAGUUAUCUGUUGACUUUGGCUCAUCAGAUUUCCAUUUGUGGUUUUGUUUUUGUUGUUGUUGUUUUUAACAAGGAAACAUCUCUCCAACAGCUACAUGUCUUUUGUGGGGCAGUAGAUCCCAUUUCAUUCUUCCCAAACAUGGCUGAUAGGUAAUAAGGGGAGAAAAGAGACCACUUUAUACUUUCAUACAAAAUUCUUAAUUUAGGGGUCAAACCUUUUAUUGUUUGGUUCUCCCUCUAAAUAAUUCCGUUUUCUGUUUUCCCUUCUGGCAGUGGGGCUCCCCUCCUUGCCCCUCUGCACCCCAUCACCCUCCACCCUCUUUCUCUACUUUCACUUCAGUGGCUGGCAAAAUCAGAAUGUUAUUUCGUUUUGAGAUAGUCACUGCAGAAGUUUAUGAAAUCUUUUUUUUUUUAAGAUUUUAUUUAUUUAUUUGACAGAGAUAGAGACAGCCAGCAAGAGAG
Long non-coding RNA from Ailuropoda melanoleuca (giant panda), 2786 nucleotides. RefSeq lists it as uncharacterized. The record is from RefSeq and is a predicted model, not a curated record. Lineage: Eukaryota; Metazoa; Chordata; Mammalia; Carnivora; Ursidae. The transcript is spliced from 4 exons.